RNAcentral lists this ribosomal RNA (369 nucleotides) under uncultured bacterium. RNAcentral's name for it is "bacterial SSU rRNA". It matches the Rfam family "Bacterial small subunit ribosomal RNA", at positions 525 to 896 of the family's 1533-position model. The record is from RNAcentral.
ACGUAGGAUCCGAGCGUUGUCCGGAAUUACUGGGUGUAAAGGGCGUGUAGGUGGGUCUCUAAGUCGGUGGUGAAAUCUUGCAGCUUAACUGUAAAAUUGCCAUCGAUACUGGAGGUCUUGAGUACGGCAGAGGGAAAUAGAAUUCAUGGUGUAGCGGUGAAAUGUGUAGAUAUCAUGAAGAAUACCGGUAGCGAAGGCGGUUUCCUGGUCCGUAACUGACACUGAGGCGCGAAAGCGUGGGGAGCAAACAGGAUUAGAUACCCUGGUAGUCCACGCCUUAAACGAUGAAUACUAGGUGCUGGGCCGUAAGGUUCAGUGCCACAGCUAACGCAUUAAGUAUUCCACCUGGGGAGUACGAUCGCAAGGUUG